UACAGAGGGUGCAAGCGUUAAUCGGAAUUACUGGGCGUAAAGCGUGCGUAGACGGUUAUGUAAGUCGGGUGUGAAAGCCCCGGGCUCAACCUGGGAAUGCCAUUCGAGACUGCAUAGCUAGGGUGCGGAAGAGGGAAGCGGAAUUUCAGGUGUAGCGGUGAAAUGCGUAGAUAUGACAUAGAACACCAAUUGCGAAGGCAGCUCACUACACAAUCAUUGACGCUGAGGCACGGAAGCGUGGGGAUCAAACAGG
Molecule: ribosomal RNA, 253 nt
Filed under: uncultured bacterium
Lineage: Bacteria
Description: partial 16S ribosomal RNA
Rfam family: Bacterial small subunit ribosomal RNA
Source: RNAcentral